This 438-nucleotide long non-coding RNA is filed under the name Oryctolagus cuniculus (rabbit). RNAcentral describes it as "lncRNA (ENSOCUG00000039026.1)". The record is from RNAcentral. Lineage: Eukaryota; Metazoa; Chordata; Mammalia; Lagomorpha; Leporidae.
AUGUUCUUCUUUCUCUGUUGCUGGUUUUUUAAGGGUUUCUAUGAACAGAGCACAAGCAGAAGGCACCACCUCAACCUGGGCCUACUUGUUCUGAAUGAUCCCAUCAAGAAUAAGAGCACAGAAAAGGACGCUGAUUACUUAAAAACUUCUCCAGGAUCACAUAAUAUAAAUGAACACAGAGUUGGCAUUUUUUGGAUGUCUUUAUGUUGGAAACUAGUCUGGCCUCAGUACUAUAUAUCUUUAAAAUUAAUAUACAAGCUACUGAAACACAUGAACAACGCUGAGAUAGAGUUGAAUUAUCUGAAGCCUACUAAUGAAAGAUAGUCUUCUGGUCUACUACAUUGAUAUGGACUUGUCAUAUAAUUAAACAGCAAUCUCAGCACGUACAAUUUGACUUAAUAUUUGGGCUUCAUUGCAAGUACUAAAGAGGUAUGUUUC